CGCGCUGAGUGCCUUCUCAAUGGGAGACAAGAGCUGAGAGACGGAGAGAGGGAGAGAGAGCGAAUGCGCGCAAAAGAGAGAAAGAGGUGCCGUCGCAUGUGCAAGACCAAAAAAGUGAAGAGGCAAAUUAGCUUGUUAUUCCCCCAAAGAAGCAUCACCUUCACAUAGGAGCGUGAGGAGGCUGAGAAGCAGGAGGAAAAAGACGUUGCUGAUUCUCUGCUGAUUUAAAGGUGACAUGACAAGCCUCUCGUCCCUCAAAAUCCCUGCGAGUUUCUGACAGCGUUUUCGCAGCGGCGACUGGAGUUUCUGCCUGCGUUUCGGGUGGAUUGCAGACUUAUAAGAGAAGAGAGGAAAAGGGAUCAAGGGCAGGAGAAGGGAACAAAAAGGGGAACCAAAAGUGUCCUCGUCUUUCCUUGAUCCAAACUGGAACUUUUUUUUUUCUUUCCCAGGGAAGAGCAUGCAUAUUGGUGGAUUUAUGAUGUUGUGCUGAGGAUGUUGGACGAAUAUUGACCGCAAGUUGCUUUAACGUUCUUCUGACGGUGGUUCACAGCCGGUGCUCCUGCCAUGUCCUGGCUCCUGUGUCUGUGGAUAAGUGUUAGCUGCUUACUGCUCUGUCACGCCACUUUAUACGAAACCAUCCAGCAGCAUCAUGUGACCCGUCCGGGCCGAAACGCCAUCCAGAUACUGGAAGGAGGAACAUGUGAGGUGAUCGCAGCACACCGAUGUUGCAACAAGAACCGUAUUGAGGAACGUUCCCAGACGGUCAAGUGUUCAUGUUUACCAGGAAAAGUGGCUGGCACGACACGAAACAAACCCUCCUGUGUAGACGCCUCCAUUGUGAUUGGGAAGUGGUGGUGUGAGAUGGAGCCGUGUCUGGAGGGAGAAGAGUGCAAGACACUACCAGACAACUCCGGCUGGAUGUGUUCCUCUGGGAACAAGAUCAAGACCACAAGGAACACCCAGCCAUAUUCCACUUUUUAGCUCUGAGGGCCACUCAAUCUCCAGAAGCUCAGCGGCGUCCUUCUCCUCAUCAAGAUUCAUCCCCGGACCUAACAAAGAGCUCCUUCACAGGCGGUGAAUGUGGAUUCUCUCUGUCAAAAAAACGGACGAAACCAUUCAUUCAGAGGGGUGUUUGACUGGAUUACCUGUGAAUGAACAAUAAAGGAGGAUAAAUACACGAUAUUUGCUCAUUCGGUGCCAAGGAAUAUAUGAAAAAUAGAAAUAAAGCAGGCUAAUCUGUGUUUUGAUCAAUGAGCCCAAUGCUGCGGACUCAACAGUCGUGUCCACUUCUGUCGAUUUUCUGUGUUUCUCCUGACCACCUUCCUCUGGUUCUAUACUCGUACAGCUUAGAGGAGCCGUUUACUGGAUUUCAAAUUAUACCUGAAGACUUUACCUCCCUAGGUAAACCGGACAAUCCUGAUAUAAGCUGUGAACGACUGUAUGAAGGAUCAUGAUGGAUAAGCGCUGGUCUGUGAAAAUGAGGAGGAAAUCAAUAGGAGAUUUUUUCCAUCCCUCCAUCAAUCUGUCAUUGCGUCGUCCACGCUGGCUUUGGUAAUAGACUGGGAGUUUGUGAAGCCCUGCUGUUUCCCCUCCACUUCUGAGUUUACCACUCAGUGCUACUGUCUACAUGCUGUUCGUUUUGGAAAAUCCCCCCCGCAGGUCAAAGCUCACCCUCUCACCGUCUACACCUACUUGAGCCAGAUAUCUUUUUAUUUGUCGGCAUGCUCAAUGUAUUUCGUGGGAGCUUUGUAUUGAAAGUAACUGUAUAUAUUUCUGUAUAUAUACAUAUAGAUACAUAUUAAAAGAUAUCAUAUGAAGAUCUAACAUGCCCAUAAACCUGUUCAGUGGGACUAUAUUGAUGGUCUUUGUUCCUCGGACAACAAGUACAAUUAAUCCCAAAUUCAAUGCUGUCUGUGGAAGUAGAUAUUCUCUCAAUGUAAUUGAAGACCUGCUUUUUUUCUUUUGCUUGAUGACUUAUUCCGAUGAAUCUAAUAUAUUUUUUAAAGUUCACUAAACAGUUUUGCAGAAAAAAGCAUUUCAGCACAAACAAAAUACGCUGAAUUAGUCAUGGGUAUUUAAGUCAUUGUCAUUCAUUUACAAUGCGAACAAACUCAUUUUCAUGCAAAUUAGGCUUAUUAAAGAUUGAGGAUUAUUCAAAGAACUAUUUACUUGGUGAAAUUAAUGCUGUGCUACUACCGCCUGUGGUUAUCAGAAGAUAAAAUGACUACAUUUUAUGUUGAUCAUGACGGUACAAUUCAAAAGAGAUGCUGUGACACAUCAAGUCAACAAAGAACUAGCGCAGAUACAAGGCAAGUAAUAUGUUGUCUGCUCAGAUUGCGUGGGGUCUUGGCCUAAACAUACUAAUAGUAGUAGUAGUCUAAAUUCAUUAUUAGACACAGAGAAACCAAAACAAAGAUUGCAUAUAUACAACACAUCACACUUCACAUAAUAUCAGUCAUCUUGAUGACCAUUUGAAUUCUAAUGCUGAGUUCAGACUGCAUGAUUUUAGCCCUGAUUUUGACUCGCCGACAGGUUUUGUGAAAACGCUGACAAAUGCUUGAGAUCACAGGCAAAUCGGUGCU
RNA transcript from Danio aesculapii, 2582 nucleotides. It is a transcript of the gene named chemokine-like protein TAFA-1, with no coding region annotated. Lineage: Eukaryota; Metazoa; Chordata; Actinopteri; Cypriniformes; Danionidae. The record is from RefSeq and is a predicted model, not a curated record. The transcript has 6 exons.